UUUAUUUUAUUGAGUUAUUUAUUUGUUUAUUGAGUAGUUUAGUGAAACCAGCUUAACACCAAACUCAGAGACAUCCACAUUUCAGCAAAAUCUAGAUAACCAAACUUUUGUGAAGUAAGUAACUCCACUCUUCUGUUUAAUGAAGUGAACACUUUGGAGUUUCUGAGGAAACAGCCAUGUAGUUUUGCUGCAAUACUGUCCAAUAUGCCUUAUAACACAAUUCAGAACAGGUUGUAACACUCGGUGCUGUUGUUUUAUGAUAACUGGUUCGAUAUUUAGCAAAUAUGAUUGAAAACUGAGAUCACAGAACAGUGUGGUAGAUUACCAAUGAUUCAACAAGACAUCCAUAGAAUAUGGUUCUCUUUUGUGUCUGUUUCGCUUUCAGUCUUCUGGGACAAGAUAAAAAUGAACUUUCAAAGUUCAUCCUCAUCUUCAUCCUCAUCCUCAUCCUCAUCCUCAUCUUCCUCCGAGGGGAGUAUCACCUGGCAGGGUUUCGAAUUGACAACAGGCUACACGGUGGUGAAAGAACUGAGAGAUGGAGGCUUUGGAAGAGUGCUGGAAUGUGUGAAAAACAACACUGAAGAGCACGUGGCUAUAAAGAUGCCCGUAUCGAACAAUCUCGACCAUGAGGUAGGACACUGAUUUCAGCUGAACAGUGACAUAAAAAAGACAUUGUUUUAAAAAGAGGUAGUACCACUACAAGAUUCUGAGUAGUGGUACUGGUCAUGCUAUGUACUUUUUAGUUGUUAAGAAGAACUGAUUGGACUAUGUUGCUCAGCAAACAUAUUGUGUCUCCACAGGCAGAAAUCCUGAAAAAGCUCAUGAGCCACAAUUCAAAGGAGUCCAACAUCAUUGAAUACAAAGGAGACGUCUUCUUCGAAGAUAUGCGGCUCCUGGUGCUUGAAGAAUUGGACAUCGACCUGUGGGACGAUGUGGAGAAUUUAGCACAGCCAAUGCGACUGGAACACGUCCGUACAGUUAUUCAGCAGGUGUGACCUUCUAUUGUCUCCUUAUAUUUCUCUCCUUCAGUAGUGCUGGAAUCAACAUCGGUGGUUCAUUAACCUUGACAACUUCUACUUUUAUUGUCAUCUGACACAUUUCUUGAACAAACUCCUGAUAAAUGUUGUUACUUGCAGAUGGCUGUCGCUUUCAAUGCAACAAAGAGUGCUGGCAUAAUCCACUGUGAUGUGAAGGAGGAUGACAUCAUGAUGGUGGAUCACGUGAAGCAGCCCUUCAGAGUCAAGCUCAUUGACUUUGGUUUGGCCAAGUACAGAUCCGAAGCCGAAGCAGGAGAGCUAUUCCAAGUACUUGAAUAUAGAGCUCCAGAAAUCACCCUGGGCCUGCCGUAUUCAGAGGCCAUCGACGUUUGGUCCUUAGGCUGCGUGAUGGCCUGGAUGAUGACUGAAGAUAGUCUCUUCGGAUCAAACUCAGACUCAGAAUACUGGACACUCCGACGCAUGAUCCGUCUGCUGGGUCUGCCACCGCAACAUCUCAUCGAUGCUGGCCUGAGAUCACAAUUAUUUUUUCAGAAAAAGUCUAAUGGUUUGUGGCGGCUGAAGGUACAAUACUCCUACUGUGAUUUUACCUCUGACCUUUACUCACUCAAUAAGAUAAAGACUUUAGUAAGCAUCAUUGUUUUCUUCUUUCAGACACCUCGAGAGUAUUUUGAGACCGAUCUC
Acanthochromis polyacanthus (spiny chromis) is the source of this 1679-nucleotide long non-coding RNA. RefSeq lists it as uncharacterized. The transcript is spliced from 3 exons. Lineage: Eukaryota; Metazoa; Chordata; Actinopteri; Pomacentridae. The record is from RefSeq and is a predicted model, not a curated record.